RNAcentral lists this ribosomal RNA (494 nucleotides) under uncultured bacterium. Its description in RNAcentral is "partial 16S ribosomal RNA". It matches the Rfam family "Bacterial small subunit ribosomal RNA", at positions 28 to 507 of the family's 1533-position model. The record is from RNAcentral.
GACGAACGCUGGCGGCGUGCUUAACACAUGCAAGUCGAACGGAAAGGCCUGCUUUCCCUUGUGGAUUGCGGGUGCUCGAGUGGCGAACGGGUGAGUAACACGUGAGUGAUCUGCCCCCAACUUGGGUAUAAGCCUGGGAAACUGGGUCUAAUUCCCGAUAGGACUGCAGGGUGGUGCCGGUGGUGGAAAACGAUUUUCUAGUGGUUGGGGAUGAGCUCGCGGCCUAUCAGCUUGUUGGUGGGGUAAUGGCCUACCAAGGCGGCGACGGGUAGCCGGCCUGAGAGGGUGGACGGCCACAUUGGGACUGAGAUACGGCCCAGACUCCUACGGGAGGCAGCAGUGGGGAAUAUUGCACAAUGGGCGGAAGCCUGAUGCAGCGACGCCGCGUGGGGGAUGACGGCCUUCGGGUUGUAAACUCCUUUCGACCGCGAGGAAGCCACCUGGUUGGAAGGGUGGUGACGGUAGUGGUAGAAGAAGCACCGGCUAACUACGUG